RNAcentral lists this ribosomal RNA (462 nucleotides) under Triticum aestivum (bread wheat). RNAcentral's name for it is "partial small subunit ribosomal RNA". The record is from RNAcentral. Lineage: Eukaryota; Viridiplantae; Streptophyta; Magnoliopsida; Poales; Poaceae.
AUGUACGUACCGGGAGAGGCGGCAGAGGUAGCGGAGGUCGAGGAUGGUGCCGCUGUGGCAGGUGUCGAUGAUGGCGUGGAGCUUCACGCCGGGGCCCAGCGGCCGGACGAUGGUCUCGUUGAUCUCGUCGUCCAGGAUCUUGCCCUUCUCCUCGAAGUCCAGCGGGCACAGCGCCUCGUUGUACCCGUCCACCUCGUCGCCGGCCGUGUCCAGCUUCUGCACGCCGUGCCCGGAGAAGUGGAACACCAGCGAGUCGCCGGCGGAGCACCCCUCCACGAGCCACCGCAUCGCCAUGAGCAGGUUCUCCCUCAUCGGCACUCUGCUCUGGUCGUCACUCUCCUCUGCCACAACCACAAACACAUCGAUCAUACAUCAGAUGAUCAGAUACACUUCUUGAUCGCUUCUCGGUCGAUAAUUUCUUUCGUGAAUACAGUAGAUUCUUGGAUUAGUUACUACCGGUGA